Molecule: ribosomal RNA, 459 nt
Filed under: uncultured bacterium
Lineage: Bacteria
Description: partial 16S ribosomal RNA
Rfam family: Bacterial small subunit ribosomal RNA
Source: RNAcentral
CUACGGGCCGCUGCAGUGAGGAAUAUUGGACAAUGGAGGCAACUCUGAUCCAGCCAUGCCGCGUGCAGGAAGACGGCCCUACGGGUUGUAAACUGCUUUUAUACAGGAAGAAACGCCGCUACGUGUAGCGGUUUGACGGUACUGUACGAAUAAGGAUCGGCUAACUCCGUGCCAGCAGCCGCGGUAAUACGGAGGAUCCAAGCGUUAUCCGGAAUCAUUGGGUUUAAAGGGUCCGUAGGCGGUUUUUUAAGUCAGAGGUGAAAUCCUGCAGCUCAACUGUAGCAUUGCCUUUGAUACUGAAAGACUUGAGUUAUUGUGAAGUAGUUAGAAUGUGUAGUGUAGCGGUGAAAUGCAUAGAUAUUACACAGAAUACCGAUUGCGAAGGCAGAUUACUAACAAUAUACUGACGCUGAGGGACGAAAGCGUGGGUAGCGAACAGGAUUAGAUACCCCUGUAGUC